This 252-nucleotide ribosomal RNA is filed under the name uncultured bacterium. RNAcentral's name for it is "partial 16S ribosomal RNA". It matches the Rfam family "Bacterial small subunit ribosomal RNA", at positions 524 to 775 of the family's 1533-position model. The record is from RNAcentral.
UACGGAGGGUGCGAGCGUUGUCCGGAAUCACUGGGCGUAAAGGGCGCGUAGGCGGCCUGAUAAGUAGGGGGUGAAAUCCUGCGGCUUAACCGCAGGGCUGCCUUCUAAACUGUCGGGCUAGAGCACGGUAGAGGCAGAUGGAAUUCCCGGUGUAGCGGUGGAAUGCGUAGAGAUCGGGAAGAACAUCAGUGGCGAAGGCGGUCUGCUGGGCCGUUGCUGACGCUGAGGCGCGACAGCGUGGGGAGCAACAGG